Molecule: ribosomal RNA, 379 nt
Filed under: uncultured bacterium
Lineage: Bacteria
Description: bacterial SSU rRNA
Rfam family: Bacterial small subunit ribosomal RNA
Source: RNAcentral
AUACGUAGGAUGCAAGCGUUGUCCGGAAUUACUGGGCGUAAAGAGCGCGCAGGCGGCACUUUAAGUAGGGCGUGAAAUCUCUCGGCUUAACUGAGAGGGGUCGUUCUAAACUGGAGAGCUAACGAGGGCAGGAGAGGAAAGUGGAAUUCCCGGUGUAGUGGUGAAAUGCGUAGAUAUCGGGAGGAACACCUGUGGCGAAGGCGACUUUCUGGCCUGUUCCUGACGCUGAGGCGCGAAGGCUAGGGGAGCGAACGGGAUUAGAUACCCCGGUAGUCCUAGCAGUAAACGAUGGAUACUAGGUGUUGGUGGUAUUGACCCCACCAGUGCCGGAGCUAACGCACUAAGUAUCCCGCCUGGGGAGUACGGCCGCAAGGCUAAA